GAUGAACGCUGGCGGCGUGCUUAACACAUGCAAGUCGAACGGAAAGGCUCCUGCUUGCAGGGGUACUCGAGUGGCGAACGGGUGAGUACACGGGGGGGAUCUGGCCUGCACUUCCGGGUAAGGCUGGGGAAAUGGGUUUAAUACCGGGUUGGAACGCCAUUUGGAUGGGUUGGUUGGAAGGUUUUUCGGUGUGGGAUGAGCUCGCGGCCUAUCAGCUUGUUGGUGGGGUAAUGGCCUACCAAGGCGUCGACGGGUAGCCGGCCUGAGAGGGUGUACGGCCACAUUGGGACUGAGAUACGGCCCAGACUCCUACGGGAGGCAGCAGUGGGGAAUAUUGCACAAUGGGCGCAAGCCUGAUGCAGCGACGCCGCGUGGGGGAUGACGGCCUUCGGGUUGUAAACUCCUUUCGCUAGGGACGAAGAGUAAUUGACGGUACCUGGAGAAGAAGCACCGGCUAACUACGUG
Molecule: ribosomal RNA, 465 nt
Filed under: uncultured bacterium
Lineage: Bacteria
Description: partial 16S ribosomal RNA
Rfam family: Bacterial small subunit ribosomal RNA
Source: RNAcentral